UGGAGGCAGCCGGCCACGGUAGGGUCAGCGACUGGGGUGAAGUCGUAACAAGGUAGCCGUAGGGGAACCUGCGGCUGGAUCACCUCCUUUCUAAGGAUGGUUCUUCAGAAGCUUGCUUCUAUCGAACCGUUUUAGAAACAUCAGUGGCCAACGAUCGUCAGGAUUGUUGAGCUGCAUUGGCGGGAUUUCGCCGUCUUCGUUUCUCUUUCUUCGCGGACGAACACGCGCUGGGGCUGCAACCUUGCAGAAUCCCUGGUCCUUGACUGGAUAUGCGUUAGGGGCUUGUAGCUCAGUUGGUUAGAGCGCGCGCUUGAUAAGCGUGAGGUCGGAAGUUCAAGUCUUCCCAGGCCCACCACACUCAUCGAGUGAGCAUUCGUCUUCUGGUUACGGGGCCAUAGCUCAGCUGGGAGAGCGCGUGCUUUGCAAGCAUGAGGUCGUCGGUUCGAUCCCGUCUGGCUCCACCAGAUGGUUUGAUCAUCGACUGAUCGUGCACCUAAAUCGUCCGCGAAACAUCACUUCGCACUUACUAGUCCGGAUGGACAGUAAGCUGCGUGAUUUCUGACAUCGUAAAGAGGAGAUCGAUCCGAGUUGGAUCGGGCAACAAGCAAUUGUUGCGCGAUACUUCAUUAUCUCCGGAUCAUUUCGGCGCUCGUGCGCCUUUCAAUGUAGCUCACAAGGCUGCGUCUGGAAGGAAUGCGAGUUGUAAAUGAUCCUUUUAGCGAAGCUUGACCGCCUCGCUAUCGGAACGAUCUUACGAAGCAAGCUGGUCUUUCUAAUCAUUGUCCGGCUGCAGAUAGCGUUCAUCGAGGGCGCGUGCCGCAAGGUAAUUCUGCAGACAACAUUCUGCCGAGUGUGUGGACAUUGAUAAUGAGAGCAAUCAAGUGCCUUAAGGGUGUUCGGUGGAUGCCUUGGCGCUGAGAGGCGAUGAAGGACGUGCUACGCUGCGAUAAGCCGU
This 955-nucleotide unclassified non-coding RNA is filed under the name Bradyrhizobium sp. Its description in RNAcentral is "partial contains 16S ribosomal RNA, 16S-23S ribosomal RNA intergenic spacer, and 23S ribosomal RNA". The stretch from base 1 to 90 matches the Rfam family "Bacterial small subunit ribosomal RNA", at positions 1444 to 1533 of the family's 1533-position model. The record is from RNAcentral. Lineage: Bacteria; Pseudomonadati; Pseudomonadota; Alphaproteobacteria; Hyphomicrobiales; Nitrobacteraceae.